GGCGGACCAAGGGGCGGGAGGAAGCCUCCUUGAAAGUAUCCCUGUUCCUGAAAUUUAGCAAGUGAAUUCUGCCGCCUUCACUGCUACUUCUUACAUCUGGAAUGUCUUUCUUCCCUGUUCAACUGCGCCCUCAAUUAACUUUCACUUUGUUUGGAAUGACUGUACAAAGAAGCUCUUUGAGACAACAGGACUAGCUUUGGAGGAUGGAUGCAGUUACACAAGGCCCUGUGUUUAGAAGAGCUUCUCAGCUAAUGCUUUGCUGUCAUUGUCUUGAAAUCUUAAUUUUUGAACAAGAGGCUAUGGGCCUGGUGGGCAUAGA
This 319-nucleotide long non-coding RNA is filed under the name Heterocephalus glaber (naked mole-rat). Its description in RNAcentral is "lncRNA (ENSHGLG00000040217.1)". Lineage: Eukaryota; Metazoa; Chordata; Mammalia; Rodentia; Bathyergidae. The record is from RNAcentral.